This 505-nucleotide ribosomal RNA is filed under the name uncultured bacterium. RNAcentral describes it as "partial 16S ribosomal RNA". It matches the Rfam family "Bacterial small subunit ribosomal RNA", at positions 30 to 523 of the family's 1533-position model. The record is from RNAcentral.
AUUGAACGCUGGCGGCGGGCUUAACACAUGCAAGUCGAGCGGUAACAGAGAGAAGCUUGCUUCUCUGCUGACGAGCGGCGGACGGGUGAGUAAUGCCUAGGAAUCUGCCUAGUAGUGGGGGAUAACUUGCCGAAAGGUAAGCUAAUACCGCAUACGUCCUAUGGGAGAAAGGAGGGGACCUUCGGGCCUUUCGCUAUUAGAUGAGCCUAGGUCGGAUUAGUUAGUUGGUGAGGUAAUGGCUCACCAAGACCGCGAUCCGUAACUGGUCUGAGAGGAUGAUCAGUCACACUGGAACUGAGACACGGUCCAGACUCCUACGGGAGGCAGCAGUGGGGAAUAUUGGACAAUGGGGGGAACCCUGAUCCAGCCAUGCCGCGUGUGUGAAGAAGGUCUUAGGAUUGUAAGCACUUUAAGUUGGGAGGAAGAGCAGUUAACUAAUAUUUGACUGUUUUGACGUUACCGACAGAAUAAGCACCGGCUAACUUCGUGCCAGCCGCCGCAGUAA